CCAGCGGGAGGCGCGGACGUCGUGUGUCCCAACCUUGUCACAAAAACAUUUUUGGUUGGCCUUGAAUUUGUAUUUUAAUCAUGAUGGGAAGCUGCAUGAACUGAAUCACUUUAGCAGUUGCCAAAGAAACUAGAGACUUUUUAAGAGGAGGAAAGACAUCUAAUGUUUGACAGAAUUAUAUCUUUGGCACCCUGAACUUUCUUAACUUGUUCCAGUCAGGAAAUUAGAAAAUGAUGAUACAGUCUGUGGAGGCCUACUUAACAUGUGGGAGCUCGAACUAAUAAUGGAGGAUUUAAGUCUUUCCGAACAUAAAGCUGCAGCUGUACCAGAAGAUCAAGUCAGAAGAUGGAAGAAGAGUCCUGUGGUAUGGGGAAGACCCUGUUUAGUGCAGAAAUAUGGAGUACUCUACCUUCUGA
Mauremys mutica (yellowpond turtle) is the source of this 416-nucleotide long non-coding RNA. RefSeq lists it as uncharacterized. NCBI's taxonomy places the organism in Eukaryota, Metazoa, Chordata, Testudines, Geoemydidae. The record is from RefSeq and is a predicted model, not a curated record. The transcript has 4 exons.